AGAGUUUGAUCCUGGCUCAGAACGAACGCUGGCGGCAGGCUUAACACAUGCAAGUCGAACGCUCGUAGCAAUACGGGAGUGGCAGACGGGUGAGUAACGCGUGGGAACAUACCCUCCGGUUCGGAAUAGCUCAGGGAAACUUGGAUUAAUACCGGAUACGGCCGAGAGGCGAAAGAUUUAUCGCCGGAGGAUUGGCCCGCGUUCGAUUAGCUAGUUGGUGAGGUAAUGGCUCACCAAGGCGAUGAUCGAUAGCUGGUCUGAGAGGAUGAUCAGCCACAUUGGGACUGAGACACGGCCCAAACUCCUACGGGAGGCAGCAGUGGGGAAUAUUGGACAAUGGGCGCAAGCCUGAUCCAGCCAUGCCGCGUGAGUGAUGACGGCCUUAGGGUUGUAAAGCUCUUUCGCUCGGGACGAUAAUGACGGUACCGAGAUAAGAAGCCCCGGCUAACUUCGUGCCAGCAGCCGCGGUAAUACGAAGGGGGCUAGCGUUGUUCGGAAUUACUGGGCGUAAAGCGCGUGUAGGCGGGUCUUUAAGUCAGGGGUGAAAUGCCAAGGCUCAACCUUGGAACUGCCUUUGAUACUGGAGACCUUGAGUCCGGGAGAGGUGAGUGGAAUUGCGAGUGUAGAGGUGAAAUUCGUAGAUAUUCGCAAGAACACCAGUGGCGAAGGCGGCUCACUGGCCCGGAACUGACGCUGAGACGCGAAAGCGUGGGGAGCAAACAGGAUUAGAUACCCUAGUAGUCC
This 744-nucleotide ribosomal RNA is filed under the name uncultured bacterium. Its description in RNAcentral is "bacterial SSU rRNA". It matches the Rfam family "Bacterial small subunit ribosomal RNA", at positions 8 to 796 of the family's 1533-position model. The record is from RNAcentral.